This 448-nucleotide ribosomal RNA is filed under the name uncultured bacterium. RNAcentral's name for it is "partial 16S ribosomal RNA". It matches the Rfam family "Bacterial small subunit ribosomal RNA", at positions 29 to 523 of the family's 1533-position model. The record is from RNAcentral.
AGCGAACGCUGGCGGCAGGCCUAACACAUGCAAGUCGAACGAACUCUUCGGAGUUAGUGGCGGACGGGUGAGUAACACGUGGGAACGUGCCUUUAGGUUCGGAAUAACUCAGGGAAACUUGUGCUAAUACCGAAUGUGCCCUUCGGGGGAAAGAUUUAUCGCCUUUAGAGCGGCCCGCGUCUGAUUAGCUAGUUGGUGAGGUAAGGGCUCACCAAGGCGACGAUCAGUAGCUGGUCUGAGAGGAUGGCCAGCCACACUGGGACUGAGAAACGGCCCCGACUCCUGCGGGAGGUAGCAGUGGGGAAUCUUGCGCAAUGGGCGAAAGCCUGACGCAGCCAUGCCGCGUGAAUGAUGAAGGUCUUAGGAUUGUAAAAUUCUUUCACCGGGGACGAUAAUGACGGUACCCGGAGAAGAAGCCCCGGCUAACUCGUGCCAGCCGCCGCGGUAA